This 397-nucleotide ribosomal RNA is filed under the name uncultured bacterium. RNAcentral's name for it is "partial 16S ribosomal RNA". It matches the Rfam family "Bacterial small subunit ribosomal RNA", at positions 360 to 774 of the family's 1533-position model. The record is from RNAcentral.
AAUCUUUCGCAAUGGGCGAAAGCCUGACGCAGCCAUGCCGCGUGAAUGAUGAAGGUCUUAGGAUUGUAAAAUUCUCUCACCGGGGACGAUAAUGACGGUACCCGGUGAAGAAGCGCCGGCUAACUUCGUGCCAGCAGCCGCGGUAAUACGAAGGGGGCUAGCGUUGCUCGGAAUUACCGGGCGUAAAGGGCGCGUAGGCGGAUCGUUAAGUCAGGGGUGAAAUCCCGGGGCUCACCCUCGGAACUGCCCUUGAUACUGGCGAUCUUGAGUAUGAGAGAGGUAUGUGGAGCUCCGAGUGUAGAGGUGAAAUUCGUAGAUAUUCGGAAGAACACCAGUGGCGAAGGCGACAUACUGGCUCAUUACUGACGCUGAGGCGCGAAAGCGUGGGGAGCAAACA